ACUCCUACGGGAGGCAGCAGUGGGGAAUAUUGCACAAUGGGGGAAAGCCCUCGAUGCAGCAACGCCGCGUGGAGGAUGACACAUUUCGGUGCGUAAACUCCUUUUAUAUAGGAAGAUAAUGACGGUACUAUAUGAAUAAGCGCCGGCUAACUCCGUGCCAGCAGCCGCGGUAAUACGGAGGGCGCAAGCGUUACUCGGAAUCACUGGGCGUAAAGAGCGUGUAGGCGGAUAGAUAAGUCAGGAGUGAAAUCCUAUGGCUCAACCAUAGAACUGCUCUUGAAACUGUCAAUCUAGAGUAUGGGAGAGGUAGAUGGAAUUUCUGGUGUAGGGGUAAAAUCCGUAGAGAUCAGAAGGAAUACCGAUUGCGAAGGCGAUCUACUGGAACAUAACUGACGCUGAGACGCGAAAGCGUGGGGAGCAAACAGGAUUAGAUACCCUGGUAGCGUCGU
This 449-nucleotide ribosomal RNA is filed under the name uncultured bacterium. RNAcentral's name for it is "bacterial SSU rRNA". It matches the Rfam family "Bacterial small subunit ribosomal RNA", at positions 335 to 798 of the family's 1533-position model. The record is from RNAcentral.